GACGAACGCUGGCGGCGUGCCUAAUACAUGCAAGUAGAACGCACAGUUUAUACCGUAGCUUGCUACACCAUAGACUGUGAGUUGCGAACGGGUGAGUAACGCGUAGGUAACCUGCCUGGUAGCGGGGGAUAACUAUUGGAAACGAUAGCUAAUACCGCAUAAUAUUGAUUAUUGCAUGAUAAUUGAUUGAAAGAUGCUAUUGCAUCACUACCAGAUGGACCUGCGUUGUAUUAGCUAGUAGGUGAGGUAACGGCUCACCUAGGCGGAGAUACAUAGCCGACCUGGGAGGGUGAUCGGCCACACUGGGACUGGGACACGGCCCAGACUCCUACGGGAGGCAGCAGUAGGGAAUCGUCGGCAAUGGACGAAAGUCUGACCGAGCAACGCCGCGUGAGUGAAGAAGGGUUUCGGAUCGUAAAGCUCUGUUGUAAGAGAAGAACGGGUGUGAGAGUGGAAAGUUCACACUGUGACGGUAUCUUACCAGAAAGGGACGGCUAACCACGUG
RNAcentral lists this ribosomal RNA (505 nucleotides) under uncultured bacterium. RNAcentral describes it as "partial 16S ribosomal RNA". It matches the Rfam family "Bacterial small subunit ribosomal RNA", at positions 28 to 507 of the family's 1533-position model. The record is from RNAcentral.